RNAcentral lists this ribosomal RNA (396 nucleotides) under uncultured bacterium. RNAcentral describes it as "bacterial SSU rRNA". It matches the Rfam family "Bacterial small subunit ribosomal RNA", at positions 108 to 518 of the family's 1533-position model. The record is from RNAcentral.
GAGGUAACACGUGAGCAACCUGCCUCUCAGAGUGGAAUAACAGUUGGAAACGGCUGCUAAUACCACAUAACGUUUUUGUGCCGCAUGACACUUCAACCAAAGAUUUAUCGCUGAGAGAUGGGCUCGCGUCCGAUUAGGUAGAUGGUGGGGUAACGGCCUACCAUGCCGACGAUCGGUAGCCGGACUGAGAGGUUGAUCGGCCACAUUGGGACUGAGACACGGCCCAGACUCCUACGGGAGGCAGCAGUGGGGGAUAUUGCACAAUGGGCGCAAGCCUGAUGCAGCAACGCCGCGUGCGGGAAGACGGCCUUCGGGUUGUAAACCGCUGUCCUUGGGGAAGAAACAAAUGACGGUACCCAAGAAGGAAGCCACGGCUAACUACGUGCCAGCCGCAGC